GAUGAACGCUAGCUAUAGGCUUAACACAUGCAAGUCGAGGGGCAGCGCAGUGUAGCAAUACAUGGGCGGCGACCGGCGCACGGGUGCGUAACGCGUAUCCAACCUUCCCGUUACUCUUGGAUAGCCUUCCGAAAGGGAGAUUAAUACAAGAUGGUAUUCAAAUUCCGCAUGUUAUUUGAAUUAAAGAUUUAUCGGUAACGGAUGGGGAUGCGUGACAUUAGAUAGUAGGCGGGGUAACGGCCCACCUAGUCUACGAUGUCUAGGGGUUCUGAGAGGAAGGUCCCCCACACUGGAACUGAGACACGGUCCAGACUCCUACGGGAGGCAGCAGUGAGGAAUAUUGGUCAAUGGUCGGAAGACUGAACCAGCCAAGUAGCGUGAAGGAUGAAGGUUCUAUGGAUUGUAAACUUCUUUUAUACGGGAAUAAAACCUCCCACGUGUGGGAGCUUGUAUGUACCGUAUGAAUAAGCAUCGGCUAACUCCGUG
Molecule: ribosomal RNA, 486 nt
Filed under: uncultured bacterium
Lineage: Bacteria
Description: bacterial SSU rRNA
Rfam family: Bacterial small subunit ribosomal RNA
Source: RNAcentral